Molecule: ribosomal RNA, 882 nt
Filed under: uncultured bacterium
Lineage: Bacteria
Description: bacterial SSU rRNA
Rfam family: Bacterial small subunit ribosomal RNA
Source: RNAcentral
ACGGCUGAGUAACGCGUGGGAAUUUGCCCCAAAGUGAGGGAUAACUGCUCGAAAGGGUAGCUAAUACCGCAUAUGGUCUUCGGAUUAAAGAAUUUAUUCGCUUUGGGAGAAGCCCGCGUUGGAUUAGGUUGUUGGUAGGGUAAUGGCCUACCAAGCCGACGAUCCAUAACCGGUCUGAGAGGAUGAUCAGUCAGACUGGAACUGAGACACGGUCCAGACUCCUACGGGAGGCAGCAGUGAGGAAUCUUCCACAAUGGGCGAAAGCCUGAUGGAGCAACGCCGCGUGCAGGAUGAAGGCCUUCGGGAUGUAAACUGCUUUUAUGAACGAAGAAUAUGACGGUAGUUCAUGAAUAAGCACCGGCUAACUACGUGCCAGCAGCCGCGGUCAUACGUAGGGUGCAAGCAUUAUCCGGAGUGACUGGGCGUAAAGAGUUGCGUAGGCGGUCUGAUUAGCGAAUAGUGAAACCUGGUGGCUCAACCAUACAGACUAUUAUUCGAACUGUCAGACUCGAGAGUGGUAGAGGUAACUGGAAUUUCUUGUGUAGGAGUGAAAUCCGUAGAUAUAAGAAGGAACACCAAUGGCGUAGGCAGGUUACUGGACCAUUUCUGACGCUAAGGCACGAAAGCGUGGGGAGCGAACCGGAUUAGAUACCCGGGUAGUCCACGCCGUAAACGAUGGAUACUAGCUGUUUGGGGUAUCGACCCCUCAAGUAGCGAAGCUAACGCGUUAAGUAUCCCGCCUGUGGAGUACGGCCGCAAGGCUAAAACAUAAAGGAAUUGACGGGGACCCGCACAAGCGGUGGAUUAUGUUCUUUAAUUCGAUGAUAACCGAAGAACCUUACCAGGGCUUGACAUCCAGGGAAGGACUACGAAAGUAGUUUG